GCCAAGCAUGGGUUAAGUGGUUUGAGCAUUGGACUUUGACUCUGGAGACUAGGAUUCGAAUCCCAGUUUUGGUG
This is a non-coding RNA of Phrynosoma platyrhinos (Desert horned lizard), 74 nucleotides long. Lineage: Eukaryota; Metazoa; Chordata; Lepidosauria; Squamata; Phrynosomatidae. The record is from the annotation of a GenBank genome assembly.